ACCAAAUCGUUGAGUAUGAUACCAUUUGAAAGAAUAGUGCUAGGCACAAUCACCAUAUACAACUCACAAACUCUUUAAUUUGAGAAUAUAUUUGUUGUUCUAAAAAAAUAUUUUCCAUAUUAACAAAAUUAGCUUAGCAUAGCAUAAAAAAAAAGUUGGACCAUAUUGCAUAUUUUAUAACUUCAAUCAUAGGUGGAAUUGAAAUAAUUCAUACUUCAAAGAGUACGUGGAAAAUGAUAUAUUAAUAAUCUUAAUGAUAUACAAAUUCCAAUGGUAAUGAACUCAGUCAAGGACAAACCGAUGAUGAUAAGGAGCAUAUAUUAAAUAUUAAAGAGGGAAUAAUCCAACAAACAUAAACUAAAUCAAUUAGAUAAAAUUGCACCUGAUUAUUUUCUUGUUAUUUUUAUUAGUAAUAAUAUUAUCAAUUACUUUUUAGACUAGCACAAUACAUAUGAUUUUUUAUAGUAAUUAAUAUUUUUUAAAAUAUAAAUUAUGUAACUCUCUAAUUACAAUUCGUACGACCAAACAUGACAUAAAAAAUUACGAUAUAAUUACUAUUUAUAACAUAGUAACUACUAUUACUUUGUACUUUCCAAACAUAACCUAAUUUAAUCGUGCAACAAUUUUAUUAUAAUUUUGAUAAGUUAAUUAUCUAAUUAUAUAAAUUUUGAUAUUUUCAUGCAUACCAGCCCAUGUUUUUUUUUGGGGGUUCUACAUUCCAAAAUUACCAAAUCUAUUUUAAACAUUAUAUUUACAUAAUAAUAUUACAACAAAAACAGAAUUUUCAGUGAGGCUAUUGCCACAAUUGUAAGUCCCUCUCGUUAAUGGCUAGUGAACUCAAAGCUCUUUUAAAUGGCUGGCAUGGUUGGUAGGUUCACGGUUCUCUCAAGAACACAACCGAUGAGCACAAAAGAAGCUAUUUAAUACUAACACAAAACACACACUUUUAGUUGAUAGAUAGCAAAAGAACACCAAAAUGGAAGUUAAAGGUUUACGAUCUAACUCGAGCGAGUCGCGCCCUUAUCUCUUCCAACUCUUCCUCAUCAUCUGCACCCUCUGCAAUCGCUUCUUCCUGUAAUAUUUUGAAGCAGUAUAGUUCCUUUAGCGUUUUGUAACAACAAGUAAAAGAACAUAAAAACAAUGGCCAAGGGAACAUACUUGAUGUGAAGUGGUUUCUCUUUGGGUAGGUACCCUCGCUCUUUCCUUCCGAACAGCUUCAGGAAGCUGUGCAGCAGUUUCACCAGCUAUUUCCGAAAGAACCUUAUUGACUUCUUCUUCUGUCUCUUCUUCUAUAUCUUCUGAAUCCAAUGCCGUGUCAACAGCAUCAUUUACUAUUUCUUCAAUCACCCCAGCCUAUAAACCAACUUGCAACUGCAGCUUAAGAGAAUUUAAAGAAAAAAAGAGAUGUACUCGCCAAAUAUGCUGCAUGACGGUACUUCUUACAUGCCACUUAGGUCUCUUAUCAGUUUUAAAAGGGACGUUCAUUGAUUUAGUUACGUUACUAAAUAGUUCACCUAUCUGGUUCUUUCAAUCCUCUUAAGUCUGAAUCCAUAUCCCACUUGACUGAGCUGAAAAACAGGGAAUCUGGCAUCCCCAUCUGUUAAAUAACUCAACACCAAAUGCACCUCCUCCACUCCCACUAAUAACGGUGGAUUUUUUAUCCAAUUAUCCAUAAUCUUUUUCCGAAGAAAGUUUAUGUGACUAUAUCUAAUAUUUAAAUAAAAUGAAAGAAAACUUCAAACUCGUAAAUGAAUCUUAAAUAACCUUUAGACGAAACCAUACUGGAUCAAAAUUUGAAAUUUCAAUUGGACAUGUAAGAAAAUAAACAGCCUGACAGUUUACUCGAGCACCAGGAGAAAAUCAACUAACUCAAAAAAAAAAAAGCCAAAUACCCAGUGUUAAUAUGUUACUUGCAUUAAUUUCCGAUGAGUUGAGAAAACAGAGAUUUAGAACAACUGAGACAGGAAUAUUGCCAACAAGGAUGAUGAAUAUUAUGAAACAAAAACUGGCAACAUAAACAUAACACAAUUACAAACUUUAAAAUUACCUUGGUCAUUUCUUUGCUAAAUUCUUGCAUUGUGGUAGCCAUUUGUGGAGCUUUCAUGAGGUUGUUUACAAGUUUCAUGACUUCAGCACUCUUGGAAAGAUGACCGACAGUACGAGCAAUUGCUUCAAAUCCAUUCCCAGAAAAGAAACAUUUAUAAAUAAAGGUUAGAGAGGAGCAGAAGAGAUCUAUGUCAAGCAUUUCUUCCAAAAGAAUACAAAAAACAUUAAAGAAAGAAAAAGGAGGAAAAAGAAAAGGAAAAAAAAAUUCCCUACAAUACCCUUUUAUUUUCAGCAAGGGCUCCCCAAACAUGCCAUUCCUAAAGAUGAGUUAAUAUCUAAGGCAGAUGGGAAAAAAAUUGAUAACCUCAACUCCAGCAACAAACAAGGUUUUGUUGCUCCAGAAAGAAGUUGAAAGUGAAGGUCUUCUUAAAUACUACAAUGAAAGUGAUUUUACAUUGGAAGUUCAUAAAUAGCUCGACAUAGCAUAAAUCUUUUAUUAAAAAAGAUUCUGCAAUCAGUCAUUCUUGUCCUCCUGUAAACAUCACCUCCCAGAAACAGAAAAAAAGCUCCAAAAUAACCACAUGAAUAAAUCCUUGUACACUUUUAAGGCUGAAUCCACCAACACAGAAAGGAGUAGGCUUCUCUAGUAGCGAAAGCAAAACAAUUUUCCAGACAUAUCGACAUGAUAAAGCAUGAGUGUUCUUAUCUUUCUAUGUAUAAAAAUUGUAGAGGCAUAGCUUCUGUAAAUAGAAAAAAAAUAAGAAUAGGUACUUCAGUAAUCGUCAAUAUCCCGUAAAAGAUGAUAAUAAUGAUUAUUGAUAAUAAUCAAAAGUCAAAAUCACAUCUUUCAACCACCAAAAUUGCUAUUCCCAUAAAACAUUAUUCGACUUGCACAUUCUCCAAAGUUAGAAGAAUAUGUACUUAGGUGUGUUAGUUUAAUAGUGAAAAUACCAAAUCAUUCAUGGAAGUAACAACAUGCCAUGAACAUUCUCAGCAUGCAUUCUGAUUCUUAUGAAUUAAAAAGUUUUAGGCGUAGGGAUAUAAUAGUGUCUUGGAAUAAACAUAACGCAUAAAAGCAUAAGUUGUCAUACCAACACUUUCUCCGAGGUGCAUGGAUAUUGAAUUAAGCUGUGCCUUAUUCUCAUAUAGACGGUUCACAGCUUUUCUUGACAUUACAAUUUCUUUUGCAAGUGCCUGGAAAUAUAUAGGGAUCACAACGUGAAUGUAAUUAAGAGACAAUUCAUCAACAACAAGAAAGCAGAUUGAAAAUUAAAUUAUGGGCAUUCAAGCAUGCGGAUGACGGAAAUAGAUAAACAUUCUCAUAUAACAGUUAUGGGUACACAGGUUCUAAUUUAUCAAACCUAUUCAUUUUUUGUCAAGUACCUGUGUUUGAUAUAUAGACGAACAUGGAUAUGGAAUAUGACUCUCCAAAUACAUGGAAAAACUUAAAGAAAGAAUUGAACAAGCUCAUGUCACACAUACUCAAAUCCAACACUCAUACCGGAGUACCAGUAGUAACAUAGGGUCAAACCACUUAACUAAAACAUGAUCAUUUCUUGAUCCCAAAAUCUACAUUUCCCUGUUUUCAGUUAACAAUUUGUGUUUCUCACUAAUAGCCAGUCACAGUUAGGCCAGCUUUCUAAUCUUAAGUUUAGUCUCUAAACUUUCGAAAGCUUACUGGAUGAAUAUCUAAGAUCUUUAAUAUUUCUAUAUUCAAUUAGCAUCCCUUGCGUGCAUGCCUCAUUAUGUCAUUCAAACAAGAAUAAAUUCCAAUCUGCUUUGGAAAUUUAAAUACCUAAAUUAUACAUCAUAUUAGGACCAAAUCCUUUUAAGGUAAACUUCAAUCUACAUGAUAGAAGAAAAUUUAAAUAUUUAUAGUAUUCAUCAUAUAGGGCCAAACCCUUUUAAAGUAAACUCCAAUCUACAUGAUAGAAAAAAAAUUAAAUACCUAUAUUAUUCAUCAUAUUAGGGCCAUAUCCUUUUAAAGUGAACUCCAAUCUACAUGAUAGAACAGAAUAAAAUAAAAGAAUAGAUCAGCUAUCAACAAAAGAUAAGAGAUAGUCUAUGUUGCCCCAAUCAUUUUUCUUGAAUAUCCAUGUCCAACACCCAUGUCCUACACAUAUUCGGACAUGGGUAUAGGGAUAUGAGUCUCAAAGAACCCUCAAACAUACACUCACAUCCGAGUCCAAGUAACAUAACAAAUAGUUACUACUAGCCACAAUUGAUUUCUUGAAAAACAAGCCAAAAAGACAAAAAAGAACAAGUAGAAAAAUUCACACUAGGGAAAAGAAAAAUUAGUUCAGAUAUCUCCAACAAUAAGGCCAGUAUCCGGAUGGCAACAAAAUCAAUUAGAUAACCCGUAUUCCAUAAUGAUCUUUGAUGUAAUUAUAUAACAUCUACCUAAUCAUUCCAUUCUAGUAAACAAGAAAAGAAAAAGAGUUCAAUUCCCUAACAACUAUGGCACAACCAAUCUACUUAACUAAAAUUCCAUUGAAAACAAAAUAUAAACAGGAACACUAAGAAAUUACCUUAGCAGACCCCAUGUCAUUUCUCUUGGCAGCUUCUCUAAUUGCUUUUUGUACACUUUUCUCCUCUCUCUGAACAUCUAAAACAAAAUCCAUAUGAAAAAGAAAAACCCAUAAUCAAUUUUCUUAUCUGAAAAUUCAACAACCAAAAACCAAGCAAUAUUAAACUCCGAAUUUAACCAAUUAGCUCAAAAAUCACAUUUGCACCAGAAAACUAAUUUUUACGAUUCACCUAAAAACUAAGAGAAAAAAGAAAAUGAAGUAACUUGCCUCUGAUUUGGCGUUCAAUGUUACGACACUCUUGACGAAGCUUUCUUUGCCAAUCUCUUAGUAAUUGCUGUGGGUUCGGCUUGGGUUUCAACAUAUUCUUAAAUUUAUCCAUCUUUUGCUAGUCUCUUUGUAUAUCAGUUUAUUCCUAAUUUUCUCAUCGGCAUUUGUUUCCCCGGAAUCUUUUAUUUGCCUUACUUCUGCACUUUUCAGGGACAAGAGAGUACACAGUGAGCACAAGACAGCGACGUCGUAUGUAAACUGCUUUAGACUUUCCUCCACAAAAUUUUGGCUUAAUGCUCGCUUUGUCCCCAAACUAUACCAGUUUUUCAUUUUGAUACCUAAACUUUUUCUCGUCUCAUUUUAGUACAUAAACUGUCAUUUUGUUCCAUGGUUCAGUUCAGUUUUUUUAAUAGCGUUAAAAACAUUUAAAUUUAAAAAUAGAAAAAUAAGAAUAUUAAAAAAUAAAUAUUUUUAAAAAAUGCCUUUAACUUAACUUACCGUUGAUCAAUGUUGAUUGGCCGUUGAUCACUAUGUUAACUAGUGUUGAUUGAUUAUUGACCGAAUUUUAAAUAUUUUCAAAUUUUCAUAAUUUCUUAAAAAUAUAAAUUUUUUUUUCCACUUUUUAAAAAACUUAAUAAAUUUUUUCUAAAAUUUAUAUAUUUUGAUUUUUCAAUUUCAUAUGUUAACUUUUUCAAUUUCUAGACUUCAUAUUUUUUAGUUAAAACUUUUUUUUUCUAAUUUUUCUAAUUUUUUAUUCAUUUUUUUAAUUUUUAGAAUUUAAAAUUUUCUCAAAAAUUAAAAUUUAUUACAAAUUUUCUAGAAUAUAUUUUUUUAAAAAUUUUAAGUUUUUUAUUUGCAAUUUUUUAAAAUUUAAAUACUUUUUAUUUUUAUAAAAUUCUACAAUUUUUAUAUCUUAUGAUUUUUUAAAAUUUAUAUUUAUAUAUUUUAAAAUUUUAAAAUUUUUUUAUUUUUUGAAUUAUUUUUAUUGUAUAUAUGAUUUUUUAAUUUUUUAAUCAAAUAAUAUAUAUAAUAUUAAAAAAUAAAAAAAGACUAAAAUGGUGCAUUCUAAUAGCGACACGUGAUUUGCUGUAAUUUGAUACAUCAAAUUAGGCGCUCCAUUACACUCGAGAAGCUUAUUCUCAAGCAAUUUAGGAGUUUUUUAUUAUUUAUUUUUGUCAAUUUUUAACUUUUGUUAUUAAUAAAUGGUUUUUAUUAGUUUUAUGCUCUUUUAAGAACCAAAUUGGUCAAAUGGUGCCAUGAGGGACUUAACGAUAUAUUGAGUUGAUGUAGGAAGUUGAUAAUGGGCUGAAGUUGAAGAAAUCAUCAUUCAGAGGGGAUAUCACGACACUGAGGCCAUGGAAGUCAUGAUAUCCCUUACAAUGCUAAAGUGAAGAAAAUUGAGAUAAACUCUAGUGAUAUUGCGAUAGCAAAGAUGGAUAUUGCGACACCGAGACCCCUCAAGACUCCAAAUUUCAAUAUUUUUUUGGGUAUCGCGACACCAAAACUUGAGUAUUGCGAUACUGUUGUCUGGCAAGAAGACAAUUGACUGUAGGGGUAGUUUUUAUCCAACAACAAUUAAAAUACAACAUCUAAUGGCAUUUUGGUUAAAAAUUUUGGAUUGUAAUUAGAUGUUAAAAGUCACUUUUGACUGAGAACUAAGGAAGUUGUUCACUUUUUACUUUCUUGUCAUCUUUUUGGUUUUCUAGCUGUCUUCUUCCUCGUUUUUCUAGGGUUUAGUUUCAAACUUUUCUAGUUUUAAGUUGUGUUAGUUGGUAAUCAGUGAGUUUUUACUGUAACUUUACCUUAAUUGCUAUUUAGUACUCUAAACUUUCUUUGUAUUUUCAUUUUAAUCCAUAGCAUUUAAUAUAGUUAAGCUUUAUUUCCUUUUUCUUAGUUAAAAAUAUGAACUUUCAUGAUAUUUUGCACCUCCAUUGUUGCCAUAUUCAUUCUCCUCAAGCAAUCAUUAAGAAAACACUAAGCUUUCUUUAACCCUAUCUUUGUGCUUAUGUUAAUGUAUGACUUGAAUGUAUUUUGGAUUGUUGCUUGUAUUGGAAUGAUGAUGAGUAGCCAAAUCUAUUGGCUGAUGGAAAUGUUGUUUGGUUAGUUUUUGGUAUAGGGACUAAAUUGUAAAAACUAGACUAAAUUGAAUAAACUUCAAAACUUAGAAUUGACGCCUCUAAGGGAACAUAUAGAUAGGGGAGACCAAUAGGAGAUCCUAUUGAGUAUCAAUUUAUUUAGCCCGAGUUAGUUUGGUGAGGUUGAGAGAUAAACUAGACUAAAUCGUCUAAUUUGAUGAAAUGGUGAUCAAGAGAUAACAUUGAGCCAAUUAGAAGUUUAAACCUUCUAAGCAAUUUGAUUUAAACUUCUAAUUGAGCCCUCACUGACCUCAAAAAAACCAAUUUGUUCCUUCUGCUAACAAAAUCGUCAGUUGAUCGACUGGACUGUUAAUAUUGCUGACAUGAUUGACGGAAGCCACCAAAAAUUGCCAUGUGACAGUAUGCUGAAAUAAGCAUGCUGACGUGGCAAAUAUAAACAAAAUUUAAAAUUUUUUAAAUUAAAAAAAUAAAAUAAAAUGUGCAUAUAUAAUAAAUCUAAACAUCUUGAUAGCCUUUUCAUUACAUAAAUUAAAAUUUUAUUACAUGCUUCAGUUUUAUCUUGUUGAUUUGGAACUAUGUAGCGACAUCUCCCACAUCCUACAAGUCUCCAUAUUAAAAUAUUUAUUGAUUUAAAAAAAUAAAAAUAUUUUAGAUUUUGUUUUUUGAGUUUUUGAACAUUCAAAAUUUAUAUAUAUAUUAAUUAGAUUUUUUAAAAAAAAUUUUGAAGUUUUUUUUGGUUUUGUACUCAUCCAAAAUGAAUUUAUACAACCAUUUGUACAAAUUCAUUUGAAUCUGGACAACCUUUUGUCCAGAUUCAUUCUAUAUGCACAUUUUAAAUUUUUUAAAAAAAGAUAUUAUAUUUUCAAAAAAUAAUUAUUUAAAAUUUAAAAAAACUAAAUUUUUUUAUUUUUUUUGACAUGGCAUGCUAGGUUGCAUACUACCACGUGACAAUUUUUUAUGGUUUCUGUCAAUCAUGUUAACGAUGUUAAUGGUUAAACUGAUUAACUAAUAGUUCUCGUUAAUGGAAGGAACUAAUUAAUUUUUUAAUUUUUUUAAGUAGUAGUAAUAUGAUAAAAAAAGAAGAAGUUAAAAACCGAUGCUAAAAAUUUUAUCAAAUUAAAGGAGAGCUUUGCUUUGAUUCACCCUUAAAAGUUACGUCAUGUAAGUAUUUAUUAUCCGCCAAAACAUGUACAAUUCUUUCUCAACAAUUAAAUCUUUUCUUUCAAAUAAUUUCCAUAUCAGUUUAUUAAUUAUAAUAAUUUAUAAUCUCAUUGUCCGUUAGCCGACCUUAGCUCAGUUGGUAGAGCGGAGGACUGUAGUUGGACAUCUUAAUAGCUAUCCUUAGGUCGCUGGUUCGAAUCCGGCAGGUCGGAUCUACUGUCACUUUUUUUACACUUCUCUAACAGAAUAGGUUAAAUUCUGCUAUUAGUCCCUGUUUUAUGCCAUAAGUUGUGAGUUUAAUCCCUAUGCUUUCUUUAGUAUUUUUUUCAAAUUUUAAAAUUGCUUUGCAUCACCUUUUCACCUUAUUAAAACGAUAGUAGGUUUAAUUCAAUUGAAUUUUUUUGAAAAUUUUAAACCAUCCAUUAUAAUUUGAUUUAGUAAAUGAAACAUGGUAUAUUAAAUAUUUAUUAACAUAAGGGUGGAAUGAUAAAAAUUUAUAUAAAAAUUAUUUAUAAAAGAUGUAUGCAAUAAAUGAAUACUUAUGUAUAAAUGAAUACAUAGUAUAUUAAAUAUUUGAUCUUUAUUUUUUUAAAUUAGUGAUUUGUAAUUGUUUUAUUUGCUUAUUUUCAAUCUCUGUCCUUUUGGAGUUUAAAAAUUUAGUACAGUAAUUAUAAAAUUCAUUAAGUUCUGCUAUUUUCAAAAUUUGAGGUGUCAAACAUAUUAUCGCAUGUGUAAUGUUAUUUCAGCUUGUUAUUUUCAUAUAUUACUCACAGAAUAAAAAUCAGUAAAUGGAUUUUAAUGACUGUCGUUUAUAUUAAGACUAAAAUUUCAAAAUUCAAAAAAAUAUAUAACGACUGAAAAUGAUCCAAUUGGAGAAUACAGACUAACUCCAUAACUUUACAAUAAAUACAAGACUAAUAGCAUACUUUAACCAAACAAAUUUUAACUGCUAGCAUUUGAUCAGGACUAAAAUUAAUCAAAUUAAAGUACAAAUACUAAAUUUAUAACAUAUAUAAAUUACAUGGACUGAUAACUAAAUUUAAUGCUCAUAACCUACACGCUCCUUUUUCUUUGAAUUAUUAUUAGGAGUUAUUUAAUUUAAUAAUUUUCCUUAGCUUAAUUGUAAUUAGUGAUGUUCAUGAAUUGGGUGGGUCGGAUUUAGGUUGAAUUCAUGUAACGUAUUUAGAUCAGUUUUUUAAGUUAUGGGCUGGCUCAGUUCGAAAAAUGGGCUUAUUUUUUUUAAACUCGACUCAAUUUAAGAAAAGUAAACUUGGGCCUGACUCACCCAUUUUUAGAUUACUUUUUUAUGUAAAAAAAUAUUUUUUAAAGAUAUACUAAAAUAAAUUUUCUAACACUUUAAAAAUAUAUUAAAAAGUAUUUAUAUUAGAAAGCACUACCAUAAAUAUAAUAAAUGUUUUAUUAUAUUAAAUAACACAAAUAAAUAUAAUAAAUAUUUUAUUGUAUUAAAUAUAAUUUUUAAAAUUUUAUAUUUAGGUUGGGUUAUUUAGUUGGGUAAGUAUCUUUUUUUUUAAGUUUUGAGAAACAAAUUUAAUUAUUAUUGAUUUAAUAUAAAUAUAAAUAAUUAUUAUUUAACAUAUAUAAUUAAUAUUUAUAUUAAUAUUUUAACUUCAUAGUUGGUGUUGGAUAUGAAUAUUGAUACUAAUAUUUAAAAUUUUUUUUAACAUGUUUGAUGUGUGACAAUAUUCAUGUAAUAAUGUCCGGUCAAUGCCUUAUGGGUAGAUAUUUUUUUCUCAAAUUAUUGUAGUUUUUUCAUACAAUGUCCAGAACUAUCCAUAACCCAUCUUUAACCCUUAAAUAGGAGGAUACUGUGCUUCAACGCACUCAAAACCACAAUCUAUUGCACUGAUAAUAAUGUCGAUAUUAAUCGAGCUAAGACUCAAUCGACAAUAUCAACAAUAAUAAUUAAUUUUUUUUUUGUUAUAGUUGUUUUUUGAAGAGAUAAAUAUGUUACGUAGUGAACCACAUAAAUAAGGUUAAUAAGUUAAAAGAAGAACCAUAGCUAAUUGUUUGAGAGUGUGUUGUCCAUUCAUGUGGUUUUCUUUGGUAAAUAAAAAGGAGAUCCAUAAGAACCUAAGUAUGGUAAACAUGAGUGGCCCCAAUCCCUGUUUUCCCUACAUCCUUGUCUCGUUGAAGCAGUCCCCUAAUACCGGGGUUGCUCCGAAAGGCCCAUCACCCAACCUUUUGUUCUUCCAAUAUUACGUGAGAGGGGAUGAAGUGUAAUUAUUUCACAUAAUUGUUUUCCUUCAAAACAUUAACAAUCUGACACAAAUAAAGAGAGAUCUGUUUUACAUGGUACCAUUUUUAAAAUCUAGUUGGAUUUUAAUAUAAGUGUUGAUAAAUAUUAUGCUAUGUAUAGAUUAGAUUGAUAGUUAUUUGAUGUUUUGGUAUUUUGGAUUAAAUCGUAAUGAUAGUUAAAUUGAAUGUUAUAAUUGAAAAAUGUACAUUUCAUGUAAGUACGUUUGAAUCGGUAUAGUGCAAUGAAAUUAAAGGAUUUGAAUAUGUACAUUGGUCCCGUUUGAACCUUGUGAAUACUUAGGAUACAAAUGGCAUGUCAUUAAGGAUUAAAUGGUUUCAGGUGUUGGUCUUGGAUGUCCUACCAAUGGCUGAGUUCCUGCAUUUGUUGUGGAUUCUCCACAGUUCAUGUGAGCAGAUUCGUUUCACAGCUCAAGUGAGAUUAUAGAUACGGUUACAGUUACAUGUAAGGCAAACUUUGUGUGAGCAUUUCCCGAGUAUCCGAUGUUAUUCAAUUUGGUUCUACGUGUAAUUCAGGUUUAAAACGAAAAUGUACGUAUAUGAAAUGAGCUAUGUUAUUGAGAAUAUGGAAUGAAAAAUGUAAUAUGUGUAAUUGGAUUGAAAAGGUAACAAAUGGAAUAUGUGAUGGGUGGUUUAUAUAUUGGAAUCCUUUUCAUGAUAUGUGCUAUGUUUCAUAGGUUGAUAUAUUUUUAAAUAUAUCUGCUAGCUAUGUGAUGUGUUGUGGAUAGGAAAGAAAAAUAUCCAUAUGAUCUAAUGAGCAAUGUUUGAAUGGUUUAAUCGUUUUAUGUUUGGUAAGUUUAAGUUUCCUUUAUACGAGUUUACUAAGCAUUAGUUGCUUACGUAAUUGUUUUUCUUUGUCUUGUAGAUCAUCAGAAAGCUUGAUUGGUUGGAAUCACAUCGAAGCAUGAUCACACUAUCCAAUUAUCAUUUUAGUAGUUUUUGGUUACUUUAAUUUAGGGUUAAAAAUGACAUGUAAUAGGGCUUGAAUGUUAACUUGACAAUUUGGUAUGUUUGAGUAGUGCCAAACUUAUGUAUGCCUUAAUGUUUUUGAUUGAUGAAUUGUAAGUAAUGGUGCAAAUAGGUGUGUUGUUAAACACUUAUGCAUGCCCUUGUGAUGAUGGGUAAAUCAUGGCUAAAUGAUAUGUAUGUGUGAAAUGGUUUUGGUUUGUUUACUUGUGCUUAAUGAAUGAACUUGAGAUGUUGGUUGGAUUAGUUUUGAUGUAUGAAUUGUGGUGCCUUUUGAUGACAUAUUGGUUAGGUUUAUAGGAUGGUUGAUUUGGUAUGUUUUGAAGUGUGUUUGAAUGUGUUUUGGUCAUAUGAAUGCACGUGGAAAUAGUGUAUUUUGGUGUGCAAGAAUUGGUGCUUGAUUUGGCUUAUUUAAGGGGCAACUUAUAAAGCACAUGACCUGAGCAUGUGUGCCACACAUGGUUACCCCACAUGGCCAUGUGUAAAUAUUAUUUUAGUUGCAGAUUUCACAAGGCCUAUGACACGACUGUGUAACCAUAUUUCAAAUAUACACACAGUUUGACACACGACUUGCGACACGACCAUGCGACCCUAUUUCGAAUACCACAUAGGCAGACACAUGGGUUGAAACACGACUGUGUGUCCCAUACUUCGAAUACUCGAACGGUUUGGGUUAUGUCACACGGCCUGACCACACGACUGUGUGACCCCUGUUUCCAAAAUUUUUCAAAAUUUAAAAACUUUUCUAUUUUGUUUCAAAAUGAUCUCUGAAUGUUUUUAAAUUAUUUUUAGGGCCCCGUAGGCUCGGUUUAAGGCCUAUAAGUGCAUUUUUACUUUAAUUAAAAUAAAGUACUAUUGAUUGAUAUCAAUUAAAAUUCUUAAUUGUUUAUGUUUAAAAUUAAAUGUUCUGAUUUAUAUCGUAAUGCUUUGUAACCCUAAUCCAAUGACGGAGAUGGGUUAGCGGUGUUACAAAUAAUAUAUGAAAACCUUGAACCUUAAACCUCAAAUCCCAAACCUAAAUUUGAACCCCAACCCUGAACCCUAAAUUUGACUUUUUGGUUUAAAGUUUAGAGUUUAAAAUUCAAGGUUUAAAAUUCGAGUUCGAGGUUUAUGUUCAGGGUUCAAGUUAAAAGAUUACUAAAAUUAUGUAUUAAUAAGAUGCGGGAAGCGAAUGAAAAAUGAUUUCCAAUAAAUAAUAUAUUAAACACUAACUGAUAAAAAAAUUUCAAAGACUUUCACAGCCACUCUCAUAUAUAUAUUUUGAAAAGAAAAAAGAAACUAAUAAUCCGGUCAACAUAGCAGUUCAACAGCAAUGCUUAAAAAAUACCUGAAAGACAAAAUAUUAAAGUAGAAACCAUAUACUACUGAAAAAUACCUUAUUCAUAGUAGAGGAGAUUUUAUUGAUCAUCCAAAGACACUCACAAGCUUGAAAUCUGGAGAUUUGGAGAAGCAAAGUUUAGGAAUUCAUGAUCUUUUUGUAGUGCAGACAUUCUGGUUUCAUCUAAGGUUAUCCAAGCUUCUAUUCCUUUCCCACAUUUGGUUUCAAGGAGAAUAGUUAAGUUUCCAAAUUGCCCUGUUUUUCCCAGUAUUGCCCAUGAACAAGGUUGCCCCCGUCCGAAAUCUAGUUUGUGAAAAUCAGUAUUGAGCCAGCUGGUGAAGGCGAAAAUAUCAGGUUUUUCAAAGGAAAACAACAGCUCCAGCUGGUUCAAGUGCUCAGCGAUGGCUUCAAACCCUUGUUCACCUUGGAUGGAUCUCACGUAUUCGCCGUCGAUAACAGCAAUGGAUUGACUCAUCAACUCGACCAAUGUGGAUAACUCGGUGCCUGUCUCGGCUGGAUUCGAGAGUGCACUCGCCAACCAAAACACAUUCCCAAUCGAACCAUCUAAUGUCGUAAGCUUCCCUUUUGACCUCAUGUUCACCGCUUGGACUACAAUGGAUGGUUUCAAGGUUCCUUGUAUCGCCCUGGAUGCCGCCAUUGAACAUUUCCAGAUGAAACUCGAGACAGCUACGGUUCGUGUCGGUGUAGUCACGACUUCCCCUUUUGCCAUGUCCUUUAGGAUGGCUACUGCUUCCUCAUUAAACACAAAUUUCCGUGUAACAAAAUUACCUUUGGUGAACCAUAAGUUUUCCAUCAUGGAUAUGUAAUUCUUGGGCAUUGGAUUUUUAGGUGGAAAGAUCAAGGAGGCCUUAGAUAAGGCAGGAAAUUUAAUUCCAGGGUGGUAUCCUUGGCAGAUUGUUCUCCAAACAAAGGUGAAAAUGAAGCCUGUUUUGGCGUCAGUGAUUUUAUGUGAGGCGCAGAUGCCUAAAGCUACUCCCCCACAUGCAAACAUGGUGACUUGACAAACCAAGAGAGGACCCUGAUGAUUUGAUUCCUUGUAGAAAGGAGGGCAUGGGAGCAAGUUGUUCAAGGUCUCAAUUUGAUGAUGCCUGAGAAACUCGGAUAAUCGACAACCGAUUCGAGCCGAUAAAAACGGAACACCGGCGUCGAAAUCAUGGAUGAACAUGUUACUAAAGAUUCUCCCAGAGAAGGGAUAUAAGAUGUUUAGGGUUUCUGAAAGAGAUUUCUUCAGCUGAGUCAAAAUAUUGGAGGUGUUGGUAUCACUCGGGGGAUAAAAUAAUAUGAUUGGAACAUAAGUGGUGGGAGUUAGCUGAUCAAAUACACAGAGUUUGAAGGGUUCUUUUAGAUGAAUUUCUGGGGAAGAUGGUUUGAUGAUUUCUUUUGAAAGAAUCUGAGCCUCAAACUUCAUCAUUUCUUUGUUUUUUUUCCCUCACCAAUAUGUUUACACAAACUCUAUAGGAAGGAGAAAAAUAUAUAAACUAUUGGAGAUCAAAGCCUCCACUAUAAGAUCUUCUAGUUUUGGCUAAACUACUAUAAAAGCCCUUCACUUAGUUUACCUUUGUUAAAGCCCUUCACUAUAAGAUCUCCAAUAAAUCUGCCAAAAAUAUUGUUAAUAAUAGUAAACAAUUGUAUUAAACAUGGAUAAUAAGUGUAGAUAGUAACAUAUUUUGAUGAAUUACCCAAAAAUUCUAUUUUUUUCGAAAAAAUAUAUCGGAUUAGACCGGUUUUUUUUAAUUUAUCGGAUUAAGCUGAUUUUGGAGAGAGUGUGGAUUUGGCAGGAAAGUGCUUCUAGCUAGAUGCACUUUCCUGCUCAGUCAACAAAGCACAUCUAGCUAGACGCAUUUUCCCUAAUGGCUACCCACUCAGCGGUCGAAUUCUAAUGGCUCCCCCCUAACAGUAACUCUUUUCCCCUAUUUAAACCCCAAAUUUCCCACUUUUUCAAUUCACUCUCUACUCUCUCAAUUCAUUCUCAAUCCUCUCUUAAUUCUCACUCAAUUCUCUCAGUUCACUCUCAUUUUUUAUUAAAAUUGUAUUAAGGUUUUUUAAUUUUUUUGUAUUACAAUUUUUAUUUGUAUUUAUUGAAAUUAUUAAUGACAAAUUCUCUUAUUCGUUUAGAUGACAAGCACAUUUCGACCGUUCAAUUGCAAAUGGUAAGAAUUUUUUUAUUACUUUUAAUCUAAUCUAAUUUAAUUAUUUUGUUGUUAUAUUGAAAUUUAAGAUUUUGUAUUUUUUUUUAUAAUUAGCUAGAAGAUCGGAUUUUGGAGACGUACAUUCGCAAUCUAUCUACUCCUUUAUCGUUUUUAAUCGAACCAUACUUGUGAGAUGCAAGAUUUUUGCACAUCGCCCGUAUGGGUAAGGGGUGCAAAUUGGAACUCGAACUUGUAAGCGUGUUGGUGGAAAGAUGGUUAAAGUCUUAUUGGUUUGAGAUGUGAAAUUGGACUUAUAUUUUGUGAUGUUUUCACUUAGGUCUUAAGAUCAACUAUACUUUGUUAAAUGACAAGAUGAAACUAAAAAGGUAUGAGCUUGUAGGAUUCUGCCUACAAGGUCGCGACACUAGCUUUCAACAUUACUACGUCCUUUGUUUGAGGUCGCAACGUUAACUCAUUGUUUUCAAAGUCGCGACAUUGCACCAUCAAAGUCAUGACACCAUGUUUCUGCCAUUGAUGACGUGACGUGAAACCUUCAUGGUGGCGACGCCAACUCGAUAAAACUUGAUAACUUUGCAUUUUGGUCCUCAUAUGGUCUCGGGUUAUCAUAGGAGCUUUCAUAAGCUUGUAUAAACCCAAAUAUGAGUUGGAAGAAUGUUUUAUUGAUGUUUUAUCUGAAAUAACUUAUAUAAAAAAUGUCCUUUUUUGAAAGAACAAUUUUGUAUGUUGAUAUGUGAGGGUGAGUUACAAUAUAAAUGCAAGAGGUAGAAAAGAAAAAUGAAUGCUCUUAUUAUAGCUCCUAGUUGUUUACAUUGAUUUCACUCUUUAGUAAUUGUGCUUACUUCAAGAAGGAAAAAAUAAUGCUCAUAGCCUACACUUUGCACCCUUUUCUUUGAAUUAUUAUUAGCUUAAAUUGUCUAGUCACCUAUUUUAAGAAGUUAUUUAAUUUAAUAAUUUUCGAUAGCUUAAUUGCAAUUAGUGAUGUUUAUGAAUUGGGUUGGGUCGGAUUUGGGUCGAACUCAUGCAACGUAUUUAAAUCAAUUCUCUAAGUUCGGGACCGACUCAGUCCAGAAAAUGGACUUACUUUUUUGUUCAAACUCGAUCCGAUUUAAGAAAAGUAAAUCUGUGCUUGACCCACCCAUAUUUAAAAUCUAGUUGGAUUUUAAUAUAAGUGUUGAAUGCAUGUGUUUGAUUUAUAUAAUUAUAUAUUUUUUCAUAUUCAUAUUCAAAUUUUUAGUAGAUGAGCUGGGGCGUCACCUCAUCCUGUAUUUCUUUCCAAUUAUUUAAUGACACUUCAACAAUUCUUUUCACGUCAUUGAUACAUAAUUUUGGUAAUUUUUUAAACCCCUAAACCUUGAAUUUUGAACCCAAAACCCCAAACCCCAACUCAAACCCCAACCCUAAAUCUUAAACACUGACCUCUAAACUUGACCAAUUAAUUAAAAGUUGUAAUUUCCCAUUGAUAAGGGUUAUAAGUUGAAUUAAUUAUUCUAAGUUAUUUGAAUGGUUUAAUUAAAUGAAAAUUAUUAUUUAGAUCAAUAAACAAACCAAACAAAUCUAAACUGAGAAAAAGCUAAAAUGUUGGAUUAGUCGUCGGCUUCGUUUUUACAAUUGUUUUUGUCGAGGUAAGUUCAUAUAAAGAUUUAAAUUCAUUAAUUGAUGUUCUGAAUGUAGUUUUGAUAAAUAUUAUACUAUGUAUAGAUUAGAUUGAUAGUUAUUUGAUGUUUUGGUAUUUCAGAUAUAAUCAUAAUGAUAGCUAAAUUGAAUGUUAUAAUUGAAAAAUGUACAUUUCAUGCUCACGUGGCAAAUAUAAAAAAAUCCAUAUUUUUUAAAUUUAAAAGAAAUAAAAUGUGCAUUUUAAUUACAUUAAUUAAAAUUAAAAUUUUAUGUUGUUGAUUUGGAACUACGUAGCAAAUUGUUAAAAAUCUUUAUUGAUUUAAAAAAAAUUAAAAAAAUUAUAGAUUUUUUAAAGUUUUUUAACACUUGAUAAUUUUAUUUAUUUUUAGAUUUUUUUAAUUUUUUGAAGUUUUUUUUUUAAAUUUUGUACUCUUCUAAAAUGAAUUUGUACAACUGUUUGUGCAAAUUUAUUUGAAUAUGAAGAACUUAUUGUUUAGAUUCAUUCUAUAUGCAUAUUUUAUUUUAUUUUUUAAAAAGAUUUUAUAUUUUCAAAAAAUAAUUAUUCAAAAUAAAAAAAAAUAUUUUUUUUGCUGACUAGGCAUGCUAGGUUAGCAUACUACCACAUGGCAAAUUUUAGUGGUUUUUGUCAACCAUGUUAAUGGUUAAAUCAGUCAAGUGACAGUUUCUGUUAAUGAAAGGAACCAAUAAAUUUUUUUAUUUUUUAUUGAGAUUUUUUUUUGACCCUUGGCAAAAGAAAAUUACUUGUGCUAAUUGUAAGAAUUGACAUAAGUAACUUUAAGGACUAAUAUGAUAAUAAAAAAAAAGUUAAAUACGUCAUGUAAGUAUUUAUUAUCCAAAUAAUUUCCAUAUCUAUUUAUUAAUUAAAAUAUUCUAUAAUCCCAUAACCAAUUAACCAAUUAACCGACCUUAGCUAAGUUGGUAGAGCGGAGGACUGUAGUAGAAUAUCCAAACAGCCAUCCUUAGGUCGCUGGUUCGAAUCCGGCAGGUCGGAUAUUGCCCUUUUUUUUUUUUUUACAAUUUAUUUAAAAGAAUAGGUUAAAUUUUGCUUUUAGUCCCUAUACUUUACUUGGUACUUUUUCAAAUUUUAAAGUUGCUUUGCAUCACUUUUUCACCUUAUUAAGAGAAUAGGUUAAAUUCUACUAUUAGUCCUGAUCAAAUUGUAACUGUUAAAUAAAUUAGUUUUUGUUAUUUCUAAAAUUUGAAAUGAGAAAUACAUUAUCACAUAUCUAUUAUUUCCAAAGAUGAUAUCAGUUUAAUUCAAUCAAACUUUUUUAGAAUUUUCGAACCAUCCAUCAUACUUUAAUUUAGUAAAUGAAUCAUAAUAAAAUGAUAAAAAUAAAUCAUAUUUAUAAUUAAAUAUUUAUUAAGAAAUGAUAAAAAUUUAUAUAAUUUUUUUUAUAAAAGAUGUAUUCAAUAAAUGAAUACUUAUGUAAAUUCUUAUCAAUUUCGGUUUCAAUCUUUAUUUAAAAAUACUAUUUUUGUAAUUGUUUUAUUUAAAAUUUUGAAUAAAAAUAAUAAAAGAUAAAAGAUACUAUUUUUAAAUUAAAAUUUACAAUAUAUCAAUUUUUUUAUAUAUUUUUUACAAAUUCUUUAAUAAUGAUUAGAAUUUUUUUAUCACUAUAUUUCAAAUAUCAAAAUAAUUUAUAUCUAUUUAUUAUUUAAUUAAUUAUUAUUUUGAAUAAUGUUACUUUACAUUAAUCACAACAUGAUAAAAUGCUUUAAUUAUGAUUUGAAUUUUUUAUUAUAAUAUUUGAAUGAUUAAAUAAGUUAAUGUAUUUUAAUUAUAUUCAACCAUUCAAAUAAAGCAUAUUAUUGAACCUCAUGUGAUGGCUUGAUGGUCAAAGGUGUUCAUUGUCCUAGGUGUGACUUGAGUUCAAGUCGCGUUGGUUGUUUGGGCUUUACCUUGCUAUUGUAAUUCACAAAAAAAGGAAUAUUAUUUUAAACUAAUUAUGAUAAUUAUAAAAAAAUAUUUAAAAAAUUAAUUAAAAAUUAAACACAUAAAAUCACAUUGUAAUUAUAAAAAUUAAUUUGCAAAAAAAAAAAAAAAACUGUUGUUUUGCUGCCAUUUCACUGUUAUGUUGUUAUUGUUUGCAUAUUGUAUAAUUCUUGUUUUAUUGUUAAUUUAUUACUAUUUUAGAGGCAUUUGUUUGUUAAGUUACACCUAUCUUAGUGUUAUUUAAGUAUAAAAACAUUUUUAAAUUUAUUUUCAGUUUGUUGAGAAAUAUUUAUUUUACUGUUUUUAGUAUCUUUCAUGUUUUUUUUUUAAAAAUUAACAUAGACCGAAUUAGGUUCGGGUUUAACAUCUAUAAAACGAACCUAAAAUUUUGUUAGGACCGACUUGAACCCGACCCGACACAGGUAUAGUUUAAACCCUUGAAACAUCAUUUUCUCCGAUGUGGAGUCAUAGUUUAAAAUGUCCUCACACAGCUGCACCAAAAUGGCAUGGUGGAGUGGACACAUGCCUUUCUUCUACAAGCCUUCGUGCCUCUGAUGUUUUGGAAAGAUGCGCUUUAUUCUACGACCUUUAUAAUCAAAAUACUUACUUCAAAGGCUAUUCAUCACAGGAACUCCUCAUGAAAUGGUCUUUGGAAGCAAGCUAGAUUAUGGUUAUCUAAAGGUCUUUGGCUGUAAGUGUUUUCCUUACCUUAUACCUUUCAAUAAAAAUAAACUUGAAUCUCAUUCAAUGCCUUGAACAUGCCUUGGUUAUUGUUCAAAUCACAAAGGUUACAAGUGUCUUACAGAUGAUGGGAGGGCCGAUAUGGUAUUACGUGAAUCAAUAAAUUCGAUACGGGUAUGAGUAAUGGUAUGAAUCGAAAAGGAAAUGAAUAUGUUCUUAGUAGUAGAAACUAUGGUAUUAUUUGGUUAUAUUAAAUUGUUGAAUGCAAUAUUUGUAUGAAUUGAUAUACAAAGCUAUUAUGCAUAUAUCAUAUCUUAAUGAAAUGUGUAUUGGCUAAAGGCUGAAUUGGAAUUGAUUGUGCAUAAUCUCGGUUUUGAUAUAUGCAUGUUAAUAGUUUUGGUUGAAUUAACUUGAAUCAUAAAAGUAUUGUUGAGCUUUAUCACUUAGCGUAUGGUUUGUUUAUUCCAUGUGCAGAUAUCCAUAAAUCUUGAAGCCUCGAGAGGUGAAACAAUGUCCAAAUUGUUGAUUCUGGACUCAGAAAUGUUUGCACAAUUCUCACAUUUCAAUAGAUGACAUGUACCUAAAAUUGGACCGAUUUUUAGGUUAUAAAUGGUCAAAUUAGUGUAAUUGAAUAAUGUAUGGAAAUGAAUAGUUCAUGAAAUUGGACCUAUAUAUUGUGAUGUUUGUCAUUUAGGUCUUAAGAUCAGCUAUACUUUGUUAAAUGGCAAGUUGAAAUUACAGAGUUAUGAGCUUGUAGGAUAUUCAGCCUACAAGGUCGUGACACCAGCUUUCAACGUCACGGCGUCUCCUGUUUAAGGUCACGAUGUCAACUCCCUGUUUUCAUUGCGACAUUGCACCAUCAGAGUCGCGACACCAUGUUUUUGCCAUUGAUGUCGUGACGUGAAACCUUCAUGGUGGCGGCGCCAACUCGAUAAAAUUUAAAAACUUUACAUUUUGGUCAUCAUGUGAUCUCAGAUUAUCAUAGGAGCUUUCGUAAGCUCUUAUAACCCCGGAUAUGAGUUGAAAUAAUGUUUUAUUGAUGUUUUAUCUGAAAUAACUUGUAUAAAUUAUUGAAUGGAUCGAUAUUGUAUUCCUAGUUACUUUGACAAUGAAUGUGACAUCCCGUAACUCGGACCCGACGAUCAGGUCGGAUAUAGGGUGUUACAGAUUCUUUAAAAGAAAUUAGUUUUAGAUGUAUUUGAUGAUAAAAUUAAAUCAACUAGAUUGAUAUGACAGUUUUAUUAUUUUAAAAAUUAUAUUAAAAAUGUAUUUUUGAUAUUUAAAUUAAAAUGAAAAUAUUUUUAUUAAUAAAUAUUAAUUGUAUAGGUCAAAUUUUGCUAUUGACCCUAUAUUUUGCAUAAGUUGUAAAUUUAAUACCAAUAAUUUAAUUUCGUUAUUUUCAGUCUCUAUGCUUUUAGAAUUUGAAAAUUUCAGUCCAGUAAUUAUAAAAUUCAUUAAGUUCUGUUAUUUUCAAAAUCUGAUAAGUCAAAUAUAUUAUCGCAUGUGUAAUGUUAUGUCAGCUUGUUAGUCUCAUAUAUUACUCACAAAAAAUUCAGUUAAUAGAUUUAAUGAGUGUUGUUUACAUUAAGACUAAAAUUUCGAAAUUAAAAGGAAUAUAAUGACUAAAAUUGAUCCAAUUGGAGAAUAUAAACCAAAUCUAUGACUUUACGAUUCAUACAUGAUUAAUAGCAUAAUUUAACUAAACAAAUUUGACUGUUACCAUUUGAUUAGGACUAAAAUUAAUCAAAUUAAAGCGCAAAUAUUAAUUUCAUAACUUAUAUAAAAGUACAUGGACUAAUAACAAAAUGUAACCAAUUUUAAUGUCCUUUUUUGAAAGAAUAAUUUUUUAUGUUGAUAUGUCAGGUAGAGGUGCUCAUGGGCCGGGCCCGGCCGGGUUCGGGCCAAGCCCAUAAAAAAUUUCGGCCCGGCCCGAAAUAUGGGCCUGAAAUUUUGUCCAGGCCCAGGCCCGGCCCGGGAAAAAAAUCAUAAGCCCGGGCCCAGCCCGGCCCAUUUUUUAAAUAAAUACCAAAAAAUUAUUUUAAAAAUUAAAAAAAGUAUUUUAAAAUACUUUUUAAAAUUUUAUAUUUUAAAAUUAAAAAAAUUUUAAAAAUAUUUUAAAAAUAUUUUAAAAUUAAAAAAUAAUAAAAAAGUAUUUUAAAAUUAAAAAAUUUAAAAAAUAAAUAUAUUUAUUAUAUCGGGCCGGGUCGGGCCCGGGCCAAAAAACUGGUGCCCGAGGCUGGGCCCGUUUUCUAAACGGGCCUAGUUUUUUUGCCCAAUCCCAUAUUUCGGGCCUAUAUUUUUACCCAAACCCUCCCAUAUUUCGGGCGGACCGUCGGGUAAUGUCAGGGUGAGUUACAAUAUAAAUGCAAGAGGUAGAUAGGGGUGAACAAAAUUCGAUUCUAUUCGAUUCGAAAAACUCGAUAAAAAAACUAAAUUUUGAAUUAACUAGUUUGAGUUAUUCGGAUCAACUCGAAUAAAAAAAUUAAAAUUUCCGGUUUAACUCGAAUAUGAAUUACACAAUUCGAGUAAACAGAAAAUCUAAAUAAGAAAAGACAAAACCACGUCGUUUUGGUAAAUGUUUAUCUUUUCUAAAGUUAAAAGUCAAAACCAUUAAAUUAAAAGGCAAAACUAUUUUGUUUUGAUAAAUGUUUACCAAUCAGUCUUACUUAUGUAAUUAAAUAAUCUUGUACUUCGUCUACUAGUUAAAUAAUCAAUCCAUAUAAACACAAUAUUGAGUAUAAAUAAUGUGAUUCGUUAACUCGACUUCAAAUUUUUUCGAUUCGAAAACUAUUCAAAUUAAUUUAAUUACCAAAAAAAAUUCGUCAACUCAAUUAAUUUAAAAUUUUUUAAGUCGAUUUUACUCGACGUGACUCAACGCUGAACGGUCAGAUUGUUUAAAUUGAAUUCACUCAGUAGUAACUGUGCUUACCUACUUGCCACUUGGACGACAGACUUUCGACCAACUUAUUUAUGUGUAUUUAAUUUUCUGCAGUUUGUGUUCAAAUUAAAGCGUACUUCAAAAAUGAAAAAUUUAAUGCUCCUAGCCUUAGCUUUUUCUUUGAAUUAUUAUUAUUAUUAUACUUAAUUAAAUAACUCUUGUUAGCUUAAUUACAAUUAGAGAUAUUCAUGUAUUGGGUCGAGUUAAGUUUGGAUUAAGCGCAAAUAAAGUAUUUAGAUUACUUCUUUAAGUUCGGGUUCAGCUCAAUCCAAAAAAUAAGUUUAUUUUUUAUCCAAACCUUUAAAAAAAAAACUCGAAUCUAACCCGAUCAUAUUUAAGUUUUUUAAAUUAAUUUUUAUUUAAAAAUAGUUUUUUUUACUUUUAUUUAUUUUUUAUCCCUCUAAAAUAAUUUUUUUAACUUCGUCCUUAGUGUUGGAUAUAAAUAUAAAAGAAUAACCAUAAUUGAUGCUUUGAAUGUGUUCUCCAUUCAUGUAUUUAAACUGGUUUUUUUGGUAAAAAAAUAUUUUUUAACAGGUAUGAUUUGAUAAUAUUAAAAUCUAGCUUCCAAAUGAUUAGAAUCAGAAUUUCACUGUUGAGAUUUUUUAAGAAAUUGACUCUUAAAUGUACUAUUUUUUUCCUUUGAAAAGACAGUAUAAAUAGGAGAUUAUUCCUUAAACUUCUCCCAUUAUUUUAUUCUUGGUGUUUUGCGGAAUUACACGAGAGAGAAAUUUUGUUAGGAGAUUGGGUUUUAAACCAGACCGUCUGUGAACCCUCUAAUCUUUCAUGGGAAUUGAACCUAGUCUGGUUUCGUUGGUUUUCUUUUAGCUUAUUUUUCGAUCAUAUUUUCAACCAACUGCUUUUGUUUUUUUCAAUUUUGAUUCCUUUAUUAGAAGAGCAAUAUCAAUUAUGUUCCACAUUCUUUAUCCGGGUAUAUAGAUAUUGAAAUACUGUGUUAACCUUGGGGCGACGUCCACUAUACGAUUACACAGAUCAGAACAAAUUUGCUUUUAAGACAGUGAUUCUUCCACAGCACGAUGAUUGCUCUAUUUAUUUAGACUCAGCUUGAUUUCCUAUUAGCGCUAAACAGUUUUAUUUUAUAGUAGUAUAUUUUUAACAUUAAUAACAUGAAAACAUUACUGAAAUAUCAUUAAGAUGAGGCAAUUAUUUCUAAUGAAAAUGAUUUCCAAUAAAUAAUAUUUUAAACACUAACUGAUAAAAAAAAUUGAAAAGAAAAGAAAAACUAAUAAUCCGGCCAACAUAGCAAUCCAACAGCAAUGCUUAAAAAUACCUGAAAGACGAAAUAUAAAAGUAGAAACCAUAUACUACUGAAAAUACCUUAUUCAUAGUAGAGGAGAUUUUAUUGAUCAUCAAAGUGUUUCCAGAGACGCUUACAAGCUUGAAAUCUGGGGACUUGGAGAAGCAAAGUUUAGGAAUUCAUGAUCUUUUUGUAGUGCAGACAUUUUGGUUUCAUCUAAGGUUAUCCAAGCUUCUAUUCCUUUCCCAUAUUUGGUUUCAACGAGAACAGUGAAGUUUCUAAAUUCAGGCCCUGCUUUUCCCAGUAUUGCAAAUGAACAAGGUUGCCCCCAUCCGAAAUCUAGUUUGUGAAAAUCAGUAUUGAUCCAGCUGGUGAAGGCGAAAAUAUCAGGUUUUUCAAAGGAAAACAACAGCUCCAGCUGGUUCAAGUGCUCAGCGAUGGCUUCAAACCCUUGUUCACCUUGGAUUGAUCUCAUGUAUUCGUCGUCGAAAACAGCAAUGGAUUGACUCAUCAACUCGACCAAUGUGGAUAACUCGGUGCCUGUCUCGGCUGGAUUCGAGAGUGCACUCGCCCACCAAAAUACAUUCCCAACCGAACCAUCUAAUGUCGUAAGCUUCCCUUUUGACCUCAUGUUCACUGCUUGGACAACAAUGGAUGGUUUCAAGGUUCCUUGUAUCGCCCUGGAUGCCGCCAUUGAACAUUUCCAGAUGAAACCAGAGACAGCUUCGGUUCGUGUCGGUGUAGUCUCGACUUCCCCUUUUGCCAUGUCCUUUAGGAUGGCUACUGCUUCCUCAUUAAACACAAAUUUCCGUGUAACAAAAUUACCUUUGGUGAACCAUAAGUUUUCCAUCAUGGAUAUGUAAUUCUUGGGCAUUGGAUUUUUAGGUGGAAAGAUCAAGGAGGCCUUAGAUAAGGCAGGAAAUUUAAUUUCAGGGUGGUAUCCUUGGCAGAUUGUUCUCCAAACAAAGGUGAAAAUGAAGCCUGUUUUGGCGUCAGUGAUUUUAUGUGAGGCGCAGAUGCCUAAAGCUACUCCCCCACAUGCAAACAUGGUGACUUGACAAACCAAGAGAGGACCCUGAUGAUUUGAUUCCUUGUAGAAAGGAGGGCAUGGGAGCAAGUUGUUCAAGGUCUCAAUUUGAUGAUGCCUGAGAAACUCGGAUAAUCGACAACCGAUUCGAGCCGAUAAAAACGGAACACCGGCGUCGAAAUCAUGGAUGAACAUGUUACUAAAGAUUCUCCCAGAGAAGGGAUAUAAGAUGUUUAGGGUUUCUGAAAGAGAUUUCUUCAGCUGAGUCAAAAUAUUGGAGGUGUUGGUAUCACUCGGGGGAUAAAAUAAUAUGAUUGGAACAUAAGUGGUGGGAGUUAGCUGAUCAAAUACACAGAGUUUGAAGGGUUCUUUUAGAUGAAUUUCUGGGGAAGAUGGUUUGAUGAUUUCUUUUGAAAGAAUCUGAGCCUCAAACUUCAUCAUUUCUUUGUUUUUUUUCCCUCACC
RNAcentral lists this long non-coding RNA (24763 nucleotides) under Gossypium barbadense (sea-island cotton). Its description in RNAcentral is "long non-coding RNA (GBAR_LNC015228)". The stretch from base 8220 to 8310 matches the Rfam family "tRNA". The record is from RNAcentral. Lineage: Eukaryota; Viridiplantae; Streptophyta; Magnoliopsida; Malvales; Malvaceae.